This 698-nucleotide ribosomal RNA is filed under the name uncultured archaeon. Its description in RNAcentral is "bacterial SSU rRNA". It matches the Rfam family "Archaeal small subunit ribosomal RNA", at positions 59 to 745 of the family's 1478-position model. The record is from RNAcentral.
CGGACUAUGGCGAGAAGUGGCACACUGCUCAGUAACACGUAGCUAACCUACCCUCGGGACGGAGACAACCCCGGGAAACUGGGGUUAAUACCCGAUAGGCGUGGAUUCCUGGAAUGGUGUCACGCCGAAACGUUAACACACCAUGUUUGUGUACACGCCCGAGGAUGGGGCUGCGGCCGAUCAGGCUGUUGGUGAGGUAACGGCUCACCAAACCUUUGACCGGUACGGGCCGUGAGAGCGGUAGCCCGGAGAUGGACACUGAGACAAGGGUCCAGGACCUACGGGUCGCAGCCGGUACGAAACCUCCACAAUGCACGAAAGUGCGAUGGGGUUACCUCGAGUGCCGUCUGAAGAAGGCGGCUUUUCCAUUGUGUAAUGAGCCGUGGGAAUAAGGGGGGGGCAAGACUGGUGUCAGCCGCCGCGGUAACACCAGCCCCCCGAGUGGUGGGGAUGUUUAUUUGGCCUAAAACGUCCGUAGCCAGCUUGGUAAAUCUCUCGUUAAAUCCAGCGUCCUAAGCGUUGGGCUGCGAGAGAGACUGCCGAACUAGAGGGUGGGAGAGGUCAGCGGUAUUUCUGGGGUAGGGGCGAAAUCCAUUGAUCCCAGGAGGACCACCAGUGGCGAAGGCUGCUGACUAGAACACGCCUGACGGUGAGGGACGAAAGCUGGGGUAGCGAAUCGGAUUAGAUACCCGAGUAGU